UACGUAGGGGGCAAGCGUUGUCCGGAAUCAUUGGGCGUAAAGCGCGUGUAGGCGGUCCGGUAAGUCCGCUGUGAAAGUCGGGGGCUCAACCCUCGGAUGCCGGUGGAUACUGUCGGGCUUGAGUACGGAAGAGGCGAGUGGAAUUCCUGGUGUAGCGGUGAAAUGCGCAGAUAUCAGAAGGAACACCAAUUGCGAAGGCAGCUCGCUGGGACGUUACUGACGCUGAGACGCGAAAGCGUGGGGAGCAAACAGG
This 253-nucleotide ribosomal RNA is filed under the name uncultured bacterium. RNAcentral describes it as "partial 16S ribosomal RNA". It matches the Rfam family "Bacterial small subunit ribosomal RNA", at positions 524 to 776 of the family's 1533-position model. The record is from RNAcentral.